RNAcentral lists this long non-coding RNA (234 nucleotides) under Sorghum bicolor (sorghum). RNAcentral describes it as "long non-coding RNA (SBIC_LNC016159)". Lineage: Eukaryota; Viridiplantae; Streptophyta; Magnoliopsida; Poales; Poaceae. The record is from RNAcentral.
GGUGCUGUCCCUUGCUUGAGCUCUAUUUCAAACUCCACAUUACGGUCAGGUGGCAGACCAGGUAAAUAUUCUGGAAACACAUCAGGAAACUCACAGACCACUGGAAUGUCCUUGAUUUCCUUGACAGAGGUAGCACAUACUUGCUCAAUUGCUCUCUUACAGGUAGGAAGAUGGAUAAGAAGUUGAGACUUGCUAUUAGGUAAGUUGACCUUGAUGGUUCUAUUUAAGGUGUCU